Molecule: ribosomal RNA, 253 nt
Filed under: uncultured bacterium
Lineage: Bacteria
Description: partial 16S ribosomal RNA
Rfam family: Bacterial small subunit ribosomal RNA
Source: RNAcentral
UACAGAGGGGGCAAGCGUUGUUCGGAAUUACUGGGCGUAAAGGGCGCGUAGGCUGUGCUGUAAGUCAGGCGUGAAAGCCCCGGGCUCAACCUGGGAAUUGCGCUUGAUACUGCGGCGCUGGAAGGUGGGAGAGGAUGGCGGAAUUCCCAGUGUAGAGGUGAAAUUCGUAGAUAUUGGGAAGAACACCGGUGGCGAAGGCGGCCAUCUGGCCCAUUUUUGACGCUGAGGCGCGAAAGCGUGGGGAGCAAACAGG